AUUGAACGCUAGCGGGAUGCUUUACACAAGCAAGUCGAACGAGUGGCGGACGGGUGAGUAAUAUCUCGGAACGUGCCCAGUAGCGGGGGAUAACUAAUCGCAAGAGUGGCUAAUACCGCAUACUAUCGGGUCGGCCGAUAGCGGAUUAGCUAGUUGGUGGGGUAAAGGCUCACCAAGGCAACAAUCCGUAGCUGGUGUGAGAGGACGACCAGCCACACUGGGACUGAGACACGGCCCAGACUCCUACGGGAGGCAGCAGUGGGGAAUUUUGGACAAUGGGGGAAACCCUGAUCCAGCCAUCCCGCGUGUAUGAGAAGGCCUUCGGGUUGUAAAGUACUUUUGGCAGAGAAGCGGUAUCUGCAGAAUAAGCACCGGCUAACUACGUGCCAGCAGCCGCGGUAAUUC
RNAcentral lists this ribosomal RNA (405 nucleotides) under uncultured bacterium. RNAcentral's name for it is "partial 16S ribosomal RNA". It matches the Rfam family "Bacterial small subunit ribosomal RNA", at positions 30 to 526 of the family's 1533-position model. The record is from RNAcentral.